AACGAACGCUGGCGGCAUGCCUAACACAUGCAAGUCGAACGAGACCUUCGUGUCUAGUGGCGCACGGGGGCGUAACGCCGGGUAACCUGCCCGUAGGUUCGGAAUAACUGCCCGAAAGGGGUCCUAAUACCGGUGAAUCUCUUCCGACCAAAGAUUUAUCGCCUUUGGAUGGGCCCGGGUUGGAUUAGCUAGUUGGUAGGGUAAAAGCAUACCAAGGCGACGAUGCAUAGCUGGUCUGAGAGGAUGAUCAGUCACAAUGGCACUGAGGCACGGCCUAGACUCGUACGGGAGGCAGCAGUGGGGAAUAUUGGACGAUGGGCGCAAGCCUGAUACAGCAAUGCGGCGUGAGUGAUGCAGGCCUUAGGGUUGUAAAGCUGUUUUAGACGGGAUGAUAAUGACGGUAACGGGAGAAUAAGCACCGGCUAACUACGUG
Molecule: ribosomal RNA, 433 nt
Filed under: uncultured bacterium
Lineage: Bacteria
Description: partial 16S ribosomal RNA
Rfam family: Bacterial small subunit ribosomal RNA
Source: RNAcentral